This 253-nucleotide ribosomal RNA is filed under the name uncultured bacterium. RNAcentral describes it as "partial 16S ribosomal RNA". It matches the Rfam family "Bacterial small subunit ribosomal RNA", at positions 524 to 776 of the family's 1533-position model. The record is from RNAcentral.
UACGUAGGGUGCAAGCGUUGUCCGGAAUUAUUGGGCGUAAAGAGCGUGUAGGCGGCCCGAUUAGUCCGCUGUGAAAGUCCAGGGCUCAACCCUGGAAUGCCGGUGGAUACUGUCGGGCUAGAGUCCGGAAGGGGCGAGUGGAAUUCCUGGUGUAGCGGUGAAAUGCGCAGAUAUCAGGAGGAACACCAAUGGCGAAGGCAGCUCGCUGGGACGUGACUGACGCUGAGACGCGAAAGCGUGGGGAUCAAACAGG